This 728-nucleotide ribosomal RNA is filed under the name Lactiplantibacillus plantarum. RNAcentral describes it as "bacterial SSU rRNA". It matches the Rfam family "Bacterial small subunit ribosomal RNA", at positions 103 to 817 of the family's 1533-position model. The record is from RNAcentral. Lineage: Bacteria; Bacillati; Bacillota; Bacilli; Lactobacillales; Lactobacillaceae.
CUGGUGAGUAACACGUGGGAAACCUGCCCAGAAGCGGGGGAUAACACCUGGAAACAGAUGCUAAUACCGCAUAACAACUUGGACCGCAUGGUCCGAGUUUGAAAGAUGGCUUCGGCUAUCACUUUUGGAUGGUCCCGCGGCGUAUUAGCUAGAUGGUGGGGUAACGGCUCACCAUGGCAAUGAUACGUAGCCGACCUGAGAGGGUAAUCGGCCACAUUGGGACUGAGACACGGCCCAAACUCCUACGGGAGGCAGCAGUAGGGAAUCUUCCACAAUGGACGAAAGUCUGAUGGAGCAACGCCGCGUGAGUGAAGAAGGGUUUCGGCUCGUAAAACUCUGUUGUUAAAGAAGAACAUAUCUGAGAGUAACUGUUCAGGUAUUGACGGUAUUUAACCAGAAAGCCACGGCUAACUACGUGCCAGCAGCCGCGGUAAUACGUAGGUGGCAAGCGUUGUCCGGAUUUAUUGGGCGUAAAGCGAGCGCAGGCGGUUUUUUAAGUCUGAUGUGAAAGCCUUCGGCUCAACCGAAGAAGUGCAUCGGAAACUGGGAAACUUGAGUGCAGAAGAGGACAGUGGAACUCCAUGUGUAGCGGUGAAAUGCGUAGAUAUAUGGAAGAACACCAGUGGCGAAGGCGGCUGUCUGGUCUGUAACUGACGCUGAGGCUCGAAAGUAUGGGUAGCAAACAGGAUUAGAUACCCUGGUAGUCCAUACCGUAAACGAUGAAUGCU